This 361-nucleotide transfer RNA is filed under the name uncultured Microcystis sp. Its description in RNAcentral is "partial 16S-23S ribosomal RNA intergenic spacer". The stretch from base 136 to 209 matches the Rfam family "tRNA". Lineage: Bacteria; Bacillati; Cyanobacteriota; Cyanophyceae; Chroococcales; Microcystaceae. The record is from RNAcentral.
AAAGGGAGACCUAAUUCAGGUAGGAGACGAAAAAAAAGUAGUCGCUACCAAGAAUCAAUCCCAAAAGGUCGGAGCGAGACGAAAUUGGCUUUCAAACUAGGUUCUGGGUUCAAACAAGACCUGAAUCAGGAACAAGGGCUAUUAGCUCAGGUGGUUAGAGCGCACCCCUGAUAAGGGUGAGGUCCCUGGUUCGAGUCCAGGAUGGCCCACCUGCACAGGUGGCAAAAACAAGAGAAGCGAGGAAUCAGCACCUUAUCUUACUUAUAUAGUAAGAGAGAAUGCUGGCUCUGAGUAAAGAGUCCAGAGGAACCUUGAAAACUGCAUAGAGCUAGGUGAAAAAGCCAAAAAAGAAGACCGCAAG